UGGGGAAUAUUGCACAAUGGGCGCAAGCCUGAUGCAGCCAUGCCGCGUGUAUGAAGAAGGCCUUCGGGUUGUAAAGUACUUUCAGCGAGGAGGAAGGCGUUGUGGUUAAUAACCGCAACGAUUGACGUUACUCGCAGAAGAAGCACCGGCUAACUCCGUGCCAGCAGCCGCGGUAAUACGGAGGGUGCAAGCGUUAAACGGAAUUACUGGGCGUAAAGCGCACGCAGGCGGUCUGUCAAGUCGGAUGUGAAAUCCCCGGGCUCAACCUGGGAACUGCAUCCGAAACUGGCAGGCUAGAGUCUUGUAGAGGGGGGUAGAAUUCCAGGUGUAGCGGUGAAAUGCGUAGAGAUCUGGAGGAAUACCGGUGGCGAAGGCGGCCCCCUGGACAAAGACUGACGCUCAGGUGCGAAAGCGUGGGGAGCAAACA
This 427-nucleotide ribosomal RNA is filed under the name uncultured bacterium. Its description in RNAcentral is "partial 16S ribosomal RNA". It matches the Rfam family "Bacterial small subunit ribosomal RNA", at positions 355 to 774 of the family's 1533-position model. The record is from RNAcentral.